Long non-coding RNA from Pan troglodytes (chimpanzee), 861 nucleotides. RefSeq lists it as uncharacterized. The record is from RefSeq and is a predicted model, not a curated record. The transcript has 2 exons. NCBI's taxonomy places the organism in Eukaryota, Metazoa, Chordata, Mammalia, Primates, Hominidae.
GCGCGCGGCGUCUUAGGUCGCGGGCGGCCGCCUCCCACGCCGCAAGCCUGCGCAGGGGUCCCCGCCUCCAUCCCUUAAGCUAAACCAGGGUUUUGCGCGCGGGGGUGGGGCAGCCCGUCUCCCAGAUACUGAAAUUGCGUUGGCGCCCUCCUUUAAGGCGAGGCACGGGACACUCCCAGGGGCCGCCACUAGGGCGGCUCCUACCCUCCGCCCCGCCUGCACCCACCCGUCCCACCCCUCGCGGUUUGCCCCAGGGGCAGGGUCUCUGACCUCAUGCUCUCGGGAUGCGACCUGUGCAGCCCCUGGCCUUCGCUCUCUUAACGAGCCGCUCUGGCUGACACAAAAAGCGCGAGAGGGCUUUUCUCCAUCUCUGGUAGGGAUAGAGCCCCUCUGCAGCUACCGAUUUGGGAAAUACCUGAGGUUUUUUCCACUUGCACAGAAAGGCUAUUCUAGCCCUGAAGCUGGCUAGUAAGACGCUAUAGUCCCAGCUACUCCGGAGGCUGAGGAUUAAUUCCUGGCAAUGAAACAAAAGCAAAAUUAUCCCAUUCCACAGUAGAUUCGGAUGAAAACUGGAAAUAAAAUCGGGUACAACUUCAAGAGGAGAUAUUGGAGAAGAACCAAGCUGGGUCUGCAAGGAACUGCAUACGAGAUGGCACACGUAUUUAUGCUGUCUCAAGGUCAUGACCAUGUUACCAUAUCAAGCUGAAAAUGUCACCACUAUCUGGACAGUUGGUCAUGUUUUAUUGGGAAUAUAUUUUUUUCCUCUCUGAAUCUAUUGUGAAUGCGCUGGUUGGCUGGGUUCAGUAAUAAAUAUGUGAGACCUUUCAUUUGAAAAAAUAAAAAUAAUAAUAAUUUGCAUUA